CAGUCGCCGCGGUAAUACAGAGGGUGCAAGCGUUAAUCGGAAUUACUGGGCGUAAAGCGCGCGUAGGUGGUUCGCCAAGUUGGAUGUGAAAUCCCCGGGCUCAACCCUGGAACUGCCUUUGAUACUGUCGAUCUGGAGUAUGGAAGAGGUGAGUGGAAUUCCGAGUGUAGAGGUGAAAUUCGUAGAUAUUCGCAAGAACACCAGUGGCGAAGGCGGCUCACUGGCCCGAUACUGACGCUGAGGUGCGAAAGCGUGGGGAGCAAACAGGAUUAGAUACCCCGGUAGUCCCUGUCUCUUAUAC
This 301-nucleotide ribosomal RNA is filed under the name uncultured bacterium. RNAcentral describes it as "partial 16S ribosomal RNA". It matches the Rfam family "Bacterial small subunit ribosomal RNA", at positions 509 to 807 of the family's 1533-position model. The record is from RNAcentral.